GGUUGCGGACAGUGUCUGGUGGGUAGUUUGACUGGGGCGGUCUCCUCCUAAAGAGUAACGGAGGAGCACGAAGGUUGGCUAAUCCUGGUCGGACAUCAGGAGGUUAGUGCAAUGGCAUAAGCCAGCUUGACUGCGAGCGUGACGGCGCGAGCAGGUGCGAAAGCAGGUCAUAGUGAUCCGGUGGUUCUGAAUGGAAGGGCCAUCGCUCAACGGAUAAAAGGUACUCCGGGGAUAACAGGCUGAUACCGCCCAAGAGUUCAUAUCGACGGCGGUGUUUGGCACCUCGAUGUCGGCUCAUCACAUCCUGGGGCUGAAGUAGGUCCCAAGGGUAUGGCUGUUCGCCAUUUAAAGUGGUACGCGAGCUGGGUUUAGAACGUCGUGAGACAGUUCGGUCCCUAUCUGCCGUGGGCGCUGGAGAACUGAGGGGGGCUGCUCCUAGUACGAGAGGACCGGAGUGGACGCAUCACUGGUGUUCGGGUUGUCAUGCCAAUGGCACUGCCCGGUAGCUAAAUGCGGAAGAGAUAAGUGCUGAAAGCAUCUAAGCACGAAACUUGCCCCGAGAUGAGUUCUCCCUGACCCUUUAAGGGUCCUGAAGGAACGUUGAAGACGACGACGUUGAUAGGCCGGGUGUGUAAGCGCAGCGAUGCGUUGAGCUAACCGGUACUAAUGAACCGUGAGGCUUAACCUUACAACGCCGAAGCUGUU
RNAcentral lists this ribosomal RNA (705 nucleotides) under Escherichia coli. RNAcentral describes it as "bacterial LSU rRNA". It matches the Rfam family "Bacterial large subunit ribosomal RNA", at positions 2243 to 2925 of the family's 2925-position model. The record is from RNAcentral. Lineage: Bacteria; Pseudomonadati; Pseudomonadota; Gammaproteobacteria; Enterobacterales; Enterobacteriaceae.